This 911-nucleotide long non-coding RNA is filed under the name Homo sapiens (human). RNAcentral's name for it is "HSALNT0341782". The record is from RNAcentral. Lineage: Eukaryota; Metazoa; Chordata; Mammalia; Primates; Hominidae.
ACAUCUCUUUCAGUCUUCGUAGGGGCAUUGACAACAGAGUUUCAGUGUAGUUCCUAAUUAAAGAUUAAGAAUACUUUGAAAAUAUAAAACAAAUGUAUAUUUUUUAAUGUAUCAUUUGGGGCCUUAACCAUUGAGGAAAUCAUAGAGAAGUUUGUCGUGAGGGACAAGGGGAAUAUACCACACGUUUACAGGAAACAAAAAGAGCUGGGAAAACAAUGAUAAGAAGACUCGUUGUUGCCUUACCCAUGAAUUCAUGACUUUGCUAUUCUCCAGUAGGGAGCAGCACACAACCACCUAUGCAACCAUUUACUCUACCGCAAACAAUACAAGACAAAGAAAACCUUUUGAAGAUUCGACCGUAAGUAGUGAAGAAACUGAACCUCUGAUAAUUGGGUCCUGCCUUCAGAAAGCAUUUAAUGAAAUACGUAGAUUAUAGUUUUGCCCUUUAUUGCAUUAUAUAUGCAUUAGUUAAAAGAGCUAUUUUGUCAAUCCUAUUUGAGAAUCGUAAGAGAGCUUCUUAGAAAUGCUCUUGAUUAUAGAUUGAUGUAAAGAGCAAAUAAAUUUUAACUUAAUAUCAAACAUAAUUCUUAAAAUUCAGAGUAAUGAGAAAAAUACUGUAAAGUCAAUGCUUGGACAUUGAUGCAUAAAAGAUAUUUCAGCAUUUAAAACUUUGAAGUAUAAGAAAGUACUAUUUGUCAAUGAUUAAAUAAAAAAAGACACAAUAAUGCUAUAAAAUGAAGGUUUUAUUUUUUGUUUGUUUUGCGUUUUUUUUUUCUUUUUUUUUUUUUUUUUUUGGUUAGAAGGCCACUGGGCCAUGCCAAGUUUUUGUUAUAAAUAUGAUACAUCCUAUGUUUGUGAUUUUAUGAAUUUGGUUCAUAACAUUGCUAUUACAUUGAACACUUUGUUUCAAA